UACGUAGGGUGCAAGCGUUGUCCGGAAUUAUUGGGCGUAAAGCGCUCGUAGGCGGCCUGUCACGUCUGCUGUGAAAUCCCGGGGCUUAACCCCGGGCGUGCAGUGGAUACGGGCUGGCUGGAGGCAGGCAGGGGAGAAUGGAAUUCCCGGUGUAGCGGUGAAAUGCGCAGAUAUCGGGAGGAACACCGGUGGCGAAGGCGGUUCUCUGGGCCUGUUCUGACGCUGAGGAGCGAAAGCGUGGGGAGCGAACAGG
Molecule: ribosomal RNA, 253 nt
Filed under: uncultured bacterium
Lineage: Bacteria
Description: partial 16S ribosomal RNA
Rfam family: Bacterial small subunit ribosomal RNA
Source: RNAcentral